UACGUAGGGGCCUAGCGUUGUCCGGAAUUAUUGGGCGUAACGAGCUCGUAGGCGGUGUGUCACGUCGGCCGUGAAAACCUGCAGCUUAACUGUGGGCGUGCGGUCGAUACGGGCAUCACUGGAGUUCGGCAGGGGAGACUGGAAUUCCUGGUGUAGCGGUGAAAUGCGCAGAUAUCAGGAGGAACACCGGGGGCGAAGGCGGGUCUCUGGGCCGAUACUGACGCUGAGGAGCGAAAGCGUGGGGAGCAAACAGG
This 254-nucleotide ribosomal RNA is filed under the name uncultured bacterium. RNAcentral's name for it is "partial 16S ribosomal RNA". It matches the Rfam family "Bacterial small subunit ribosomal RNA", at positions 524 to 776 of the family's 1533-position model. The record is from RNAcentral.